Molecule: ribosomal RNA, 466 nt
Filed under: uncultured bacterium
Lineage: Bacteria
Description: partial 16S ribosomal RNA
Rfam family: Bacterial small subunit ribosomal RNA
Source: RNAcentral
GAUGAACGCUGGCGGCGUGCUUAACACAUGCAAGUCGAACGGAAAGGCCCAAGCUUGCUUGGGUACUCGAGUGGCGAACGGGUGAGUAACACGUGGGUGAUCUGCCCUGCACUUCGGGAUAAGCCUGGGAAACUGGGUCUAAUACCGGAUAGGACGAUGGUUUGGAUGCCAUUGUGGAAAGUUUUUUCGGUGUGGGAUGAGCUCGCGGCCUAUCAGCUUGUUGGUGGGGUAAUGGCCUACCAAGGCGUCGACGGGUAGCCGGCCUGAGAGGGUGUACGGCCACAUUGGGACUGAGAUACGGCCCAGACUCCUACGGGAGGCAGCAGUGGGGAAUAUUGCACAAUGGGCGCAAGCCUGAUGCAGCGACGCCGCGUGGGGGAUGACGGCCUUCGGGUUGUAAACUCCUUUCGCUAGGGACGAAGCGUUUUUGUGACGGUACCUGGAGAAGAAGCACCGGCUAACUACG